AUGGCGGCCUCGGCAGCGCUGUUCUUGCGCUUGCGGAGCGGGCUCCGACUCGGCUCGCAGGGACUGUGCAGGAGGUUGGCAACGCCGCCCCUCCGGGCCCCAGAUCAGGCCUCAGAGAUCGGGAGCCGCGGGGGCACUAAGGCACAAGGGCCAUAGCAGCAGCCAGACUCAGAGGGUCCCAGCUAUGCCAAAAAAGUUGCGCUCUGGCUUGCUGGGCUGCUUGGAGCUGGUGGGACCGUGAGCGUCGUCUGUGUCUUUGGAAACAACCCAGUGGAUGAAAAUGGUGCCAGGAUUCCUAAUGAGUUCGACAAUGAUCCAAUUCUGGUACAGUAGUUGCGCCGGACAUACAAAUAUUUCAAAGAUUAUAGACAUGAUCAUCGAGCCCACCAGCCCUUGCCUUCUCCCAGACCCUCUGCGGAAGCCGUACUACCAGCCACCCUACACGUUCGUUUUGGAGCUCACCGGCGUCCUCUUGCAUCUUGAGUGGUCGCUGGCCACUGGCUGGAGGUUUAAGAAGCGCCCAGGCAUCGAGACCUUGUUCCAGCAGCUCACCCCUUUAUAUGAAAUUGUCAUCUUUACGUCAGAGACUGGCAUGACUACGUUUCCACUCAUUGAUAGCGUGGACCCCCACGGCUUCAUCUACUAUCACCUAUUCCGGAACGCGAAGAUACAUGAAUGGACACCAUGUAAGGACAUUUCAUGUCUGAAUCGGGACCCAGGUCGAGUAGUAGUUGUGGCCUGCAAGAAGGAAGCCUUCCGCCUGCAGCCCUAUAACGGCGUCGCCCUGCAGCCCUGGGACGGCAACUCUGAUGACCGGGUCUUAUUGGACCUGUCUGCCUUCCUCAAGACCAUUGCACUGAACGGUGUGGAGGACGUGCGAACCAUACUGGAGCACUACGCCCUGGAGGAUGAUCCGCUGGCAGCUUUCAAACAGCGGCAAAACCGGCUAGAGCAGGAGGAGCAGCAGCUUCUGGCCGAGCUCUCCAAGUCCAACAAGCAGAACCUCUUCCUCGGUUCCCUCACCAGCCGCUUGUGGUCUCGCUCCAGACAGCCCUGAACUCUGGGCCUCCUCAAACUCAGUGCCGGGGUCCAGAGCCCCAGUGCUUCCAGAUCAAAACUUGGGCCACCACUGUCCAAUAAAGUACAUCCCAGACACCA
Molecule: RNA transcript, 1158 nt
Organism: Piliocolobus tephrosceles (Ugandan red Colobus)
Lineage: Eukaryota; Metazoa; Chordata; Mammalia; Primates; Cercopithecidae
Gene name: mitochondrial import inner membrane translocase subunit TIM50 pseudogene
Exons: 1
Source: RefSeq, a predicted model, not a curated record